Molecule: long non-coding RNA, 1343 nt
Organism: Nomascus leucogenys (northern white-cheeked gibbon)
Lineage: Eukaryota; Metazoa; Chordata; Mammalia; Primates; Hylobatidae
Exons: 5
Source: RefSeq, a predicted model, not a curated record
GGUGAAUGUGAAAAUUGUACAUCUCUGAUGGCUGCUAAAUCUCUUUGCCUUUCUAAAUGACAAGGGUUUUCUGUUUCCUAUGAACAGAAGCAGAAUUUUUUCACAACAGAAAGUGAAGCAGCGAAGUUCUGAGAGUUGCUCCUCAUUUAAUGCUGAUAGCAGAGAAGAGUAAUCUUGAGACUCGCCAAGGAUGGAAAUGAUAUGGCCCCCACCUGCCAGCCUUAGCUUCACAAACUGGAGGACCCUUGAUAGCAUAGAAGAACCUGUGUGGAUUCACGAGAAUGACUUACUAUUGAGAUUCUAUGUCAUAUUCUUACUAGUUAAUCAUCCACAGUCAGCUAUGGGGAGAUUGCUGCUUUAAGGCUAUAUUCAUCAGCUUGGUGGUUAUGAUGUUUUGGUGAUUUAUGGAUGUUUAUGACCCACGUAUGGAUACAAAUGAGGGCUGUUACUGUCCCAUCGCCUUCCUUCCCAGCCUAAGGAGAGUGUUCAAGAAAUCCAGAAAGCCUCCCAAGGGGCAGAAACAGUCACAGUCCUGGUGGAAUGGCGGAGGCCUGAGGGCAGGACCAGGAUAACACAAAGCUGCAUGUCCACACCCAACUAGUAGUGGUGGCAGAUAGACACCUCAAGCCUGAGGGAGACCGGCAUUGUGGACUCUGAACACAGAAGCUGAUGUCUAGAGAGCAGCAUGUUGAGAAACCUUAAGCAGCGGACAGCAAAGACCCAGAGAGCAGCACAUAGAACGGAAGAGCCUUUCACCACUGCUCUCAAAAAAACUUCUUGCUUUUAGGGAAUAAGAUGACAUCUUGGGAAAGUGAGGGAGUGGGGAAGGAGCCGUGAAAGACUGAUCAUCUGCCCUAAAGAGACUGAGUUACUCUAAAGACGACAGACUUAUUUCCAGCUGACUGGCAAGACCCAGUGGUUCCCUGAGCCUGUCUCCCUGCCAGAACCUCCACUACCUAGCAGAAUGAGCUGAUAGAGGAUUAAGUGCAUUUUGUUUUAGUUUAACCAAGAAUGAAGACUUUCUCUUUCCUGUAAAAGUUCAGAAGUAUCUAAAGAAGGCCAUAAAUACCACACUCCUUCUAGAUCUAUUGUUCCACCAUUUCUAGGAUGUCACAGUUUUCCUUAUGGUCCAAGAUAGUGGUAUUUAUAUUUCAAAAAGAAGGUUGAAAAAAGGAAGGGGAAGAACAGAAAGGGCAUGCACCAGAUUUCCUUCAAAAAAGGCUCUUACAAGUUGUCACAUCUAAUCCACUUAGGUCCCACUAGCCAGACAUUAGCUUCAUGGCCACAUAUAGCAUUCAAAAAUACUGGGUAAUGUAGAAUUUUGGGGGUCACUGUAUUAGUCU